This 1350-nucleotide ribosomal RNA is filed under the name Lacticaseibacillus rhamnosus. RNAcentral's name for it is "bacterial SSU rRNA". It matches the Rfam family "Bacterial small subunit ribosomal RNA", at positions 202 to 1533 of the family's 1533-position model. The record is from RNAcentral. Lineage: Bacteria; Bacillati; Bacillota; Bacilli; Lactobacillales; Lactobacillaceae.
GAUGGCGUAAGCUAUCGCUUUUGGAUGGACCCGCGGCGUAUUAGCUAGUUGGUGAGGUAACGGCUCACCAAGGCAAUGAUACGUAGCCGAACUGAGAGGUUGAUCGGCCACAUUGGGACUGAGACACGGCCCAAACUCCUACGGGAGGCAGCAGUAGGGAAUCUUCCACAAUGGACGCAAGUCUGAUGGAGCAACGCCGCGUGAGUGAAGAAGGCUUUCGGGUCGUAAAACUCUGUUGUUGGAGAAGAAUGGUCGGCAGAGUAACUGUUGUCGGCGUGACGGUAUCCAACCAGAAAGCCACGGCUAACUACGUGCCAGCAGCCGCGGUAAUACGUAGGUGGCAAGCGUUAUCCGGAUUUAUUGGGCGUAAAGCGAGCGCAGGCGGUUUUUUAAGUCUGAUGUGAAAGCCCUCGGCUUAACCGAGGAAGUGCAUCGGAAACUGGGAAACUUGAGUGCAGAAGAGGACAGUGGAACUCCAUGUGUAGCGGUGAAAUGCGUAGAUAUAUGGAAGAACACCAGUGGCGAAGGCGGCUGUCUGGUCUGUAACUGACGCUGAGGCUCGAAAGCAUGGGUAGCGAACAGGAUUAGAUACCCUGGUAGUCCAUGCCGUAAACGAUGAAUGCUAGGUGUUGGAGGGUUUCCGCCCUUCAGUGCCGCAGCUAACGCAUUAAGCAUUCCGCCUGGGGAGUACGACCGCAAGGUUGAAACUCAAAGGAAUUGACGGGGGCCCGCACAAGCGGUGGAGCAUGUGGUUUAAUUCGAAGCAACGCGAAGAACCUUACCAGGUCUUGACAUCUUUUGAUCACCUGAGAGAUCAGGUUUCCCCUUCGGGGGCAAAAUGACAGGUGGUGCAUGGUUGUCGUCAGCUCGUGUCGUGAGAUGUUGGGUUAAGUCCCGCAACGAGCGCAACCCUUAUGACUAGUUGCCAGCAUUUAGUUGGGCACUCUAGUAAGACUGCCGGUGACAAACCGGAGGAAGGUGGGGAUGACGUCAAAUCAUCAUGCCCCUUAUGACCUGGGCUACACACGUGCUACAAUGGAUGGUACAACGAGUUGCGAGACCGCGAGGUCAAGCUAAUCUCUUAAAGCCAUUCUCAGUUCGGACUGUAGGCUGCAACUCGCCUACACGAAGUCGGAAUCGCUAGUAAUCGCGGAUCAGCACGCCGCGGUGAAUACGUUCCCGGGCCUUGUACACACCGCCCGUCACACCAUGAGAGUUUGUAACACCCGAAGCCGGUGGCGUAACCCUUUUAGGGAGCGAGCCGUCUAAGGUGGGACAAAUGAUUAGGGUGAAGUCGUAACAAGGUAGCCGUAGGAGAACCUGCGGCUGGAUCACCUCCUUUCUAAGGAA